This 500-nucleotide ribosomal RNA is filed under the name uncultured bacterium. Its description in RNAcentral is "partial 16S ribosomal RNA". It matches the Rfam family "Bacterial small subunit ribosomal RNA", at positions 28 to 507 of the family's 1533-position model. The record is from RNAcentral.
GACGAACGCUGGCGGCGUGCUUAACACAUGCAAGUCGAACGGAAAGGCCUGCUUUCCCUUGUGGAUUGCGGGUACUCGAGUGGCGAACGGGUGAGUAACACGUGAGUGAUCUGCCCCCAACUUGGGUAUAAGCCUGGGAUACUGGGUCUAAUUCCCGAUAGGACUGCAGGGUGGUGCCUGUGGUGGAAAACGAUUUUCUAGUGGUUGGGGAUGAGCUCGCGGCCUAUCAGCUGGUUGGUGGGGUAAUGGCCUACCAAGGCGACGACGGGUAGCCGGCCUGAGAGGACGGCCAGCGACACUGGGAGUGGGAAACGGCGCAGACUCCGACGGGGGGCAGCAGUGGGGAAGUGUGGACAAUGGGCGAAAGCGUGAGCCAGAAAUGCCGCGUGUGGGAGGAAGGCCUUCGGGUUGUAAAGGACGUUUGGCGGGAACGAAAAGGACUGUGCCAAGACCACGGUUAGAUGACGGUACCCGCAGAAUAAGCACCGGCUAACUACGUG